CCUGAUGGGAGCACGCCGCGUGAGCGAAGAAGGUCUUCGGAUCGUAAAGCUCUGUUGUAAGGGAAGAACAAGUGCAGUAGUAACUGGCUGCACCUUGACGGUACCUUACUAGAAAGCCACGGCUAACUACGUGCCAGCAGCCGCGGUAAUUA
This 152-nucleotide ribosomal RNA is filed under the name uncultured Bacillus sp. RNAcentral's name for it is "partial 16S ribosomal RNA". It matches the Rfam family "Bacterial small subunit ribosomal RNA", at positions 382 to 525 of the family's 1533-position model. Lineage: Bacteria; Bacillati; Bacillota; Bacilli; Caryophanales; Bacillaceae. The record is from RNAcentral.